RNAcentral lists this long non-coding RNA (2070 nucleotides) under Gallus gallus (chicken). Lineage: Eukaryota; Metazoa; Chordata; Aves; Galliformes; Phasianidae. The record is from RNAcentral.
UGUCAGUUGCUGUGCAGCACAAAGCCUGACUGCCCUGAAAAUCUUACGUGAGGACCAGCUGGGUGUUUUAGAGAGAGGUGAGCCAUACCUGGCUCGGGGCACUCACAGCCAGCAGUGGUAUCUUCAUUCACGCCCCAGAGCAGUCAUCAUUUUCAGUUCUGCAGUGAAGAAAGACAAACCAGCUAAGGCAGCUGAUCUGGUAUUGUAGUUUUUAGCGUACUCCAUGUGCCAAAUUGCUCCUACAUAUGUAUAUUUGCCUUCUGCUUGAGCAGACUAGAGUACGUUCACAAGUGACCUCGAUCUUAAUAACAGGUGAUUGCUCAUAGCACAUAAUAUGUGUCAGGUUUUGAUCUGAAGUAUUUUUUUUGCAGGUGCCACAUCUUGGCACUGUGGUGCUAGGGCCGCCCAGCAGUUCUAACAGAUUGCUUGUGUUUGCUGUCAGAAUUUGCACCCACAUUUGAUAUUUUCCAUUGCUAGUUUUUUUUGGUCUUAUUCACACCCUAAUCCUCUUGUCACAAGGGCUUAGUUGCAGAGACAAAUGUCUGACAUAUUAUCAACUGGAAGCUUCCUACCAUGCCAAACCUGCCAGUGCAACAAGGGGGGAGCAUAUUCUGUGGUCAUUGACUGUCCACUAAAAACACCUGCUUGUUCUUCUCUAGAUUUGCAAUUCUCAGUCCUCCUGGCUUCAAUCUCCCUGCUUGUUUGAGUCAUUGUAGAAUAACAAAGUGCUUUGCUGAAUAUUUUUCCAUUACUAUGAAACAAUCCUAAUUUUCUUUACGUGUUAGUAUGGUUGAAGAGACAUUGAUCAAGCUCAACUGAAGUGUUUUGUUCAACUUGUAGCUGAGAGCUACAAUAUAUAAUCGUGUAAUUUAGGAAGGUGUUAAUGGUGGUUUUGCUACAGUGAUUGAAGUGGUCCAGUAGUUUUUUCCAAGCAUCAACUUUAUAGUAAGUUUUCAAGAAAAAAAAUCAGUAUGUCAAUAUUUUAUCCUCAUAUUUUAAAACUACUUGGAAUUAUUUCGAUGUGGCGAGAAACUAGAGCAGCUUUUGAAAGAAUCCCAAUUUCUGCUGCUUGCUCAGAUGAAAAUAAGAGUCCCGUACGAUUCUGUGGCAGUUUGAAUUCAUUCCCACAGCUCAUGGCUUUUUCUCUUAACGUGUUCCUUCGCUGUCAUCAAAGCAUGGGGAGAAGAAAAUCUGAAAACACUUAAGUUCUUAAUAUCGUUGGCUUUGCAAUCUGCAGUGCUACGAUGAGUGCUCUCGAUCCAUAACUAAAAUUGGUAGCACUCAUUGAAAUCAGUAUAAAAUCAUCAAAAUGAUUUAUUGUAAAAUUUGCUAGGCCAGCUCCUGAUUGCUCCUGCUGGUUCUAAGUGCUCCUUACAGACACAAACCCUCUCCCUCUUCUCCCAUCUCUCACAGUGCUCUCCUUCAGUGAGUUGCACAUGGAUGUCAAUGAGUGUUUGAGGUCCUAAGCUUGAAAGCAGAUUUUGCCAUGAAAGUUAGUUUGGGCAGCUAUAUAUAUUUAUAUAUGCUUUAAAAAGAUAUCAAAUGACAGUAUUUUAGGUUAACAGAUAGGAGUUGUUGCAAAUCUGCUUCCUUCCUUUCCAGCAAUGGUCUAGGGAAUUUAUUUUGUUCUGAUGGGCUGAAAUAAGGAGGAAGUUUUUCACCCAGAGGGUGGUGACGCAGUGGAACAGGUUGCCCAAGGAGGCUGUGGAUGCCCCAUCCCUGGAGGCAUUCAAGGCCAGGCUGGAUGUGGCUCUGGGCAGCCUGGUCUGGACAUUGGCGACCCUGCACAUAGCAGGGGGUUGAAACUCAAUGAUCACUGUGGUCCUUUCCAACCCAGGCCAUUCUAUGACUCUAUGAAAACUGAAAAUAAAAUAUUUUUUGCUGGUAUUUUGCAGUAGUAUUUCUUUACUGGAUGUUCCUAGAAAUAUGGUAUUAUUACAGUAAUCAGUCUCGUAAAUCCAAAAAAACUGUGAGUUACUCGGAAGGCAUUAUCAACAUCUUUCAUGCGACACAGCUAUCAGGACUCCUUUUAACAGCCCUUGUGACUAGUACCUAGCAAUUCACAUUUUC